CCUACGGGUGGCUGCAGUGAGGGAUAUUGGUCAAUGGGGGAAACCCUGAACCAGCAACGCCGCGUGAGGGAAGACGGUUUUCGGAUUGUAAACCUCUGUCCUCUGUGAAGAUAAUGACGGUAGCAGAGGAGGAAGCUCCGGCUAACUACGUGCCAGCAGCCGCGGUAAUACGUAUGGAGCAAGCGUUGUCCGGAUUUACUGGGUGUAAAGGGUGCGUAGGCGGGUUUGCAAGUCAGAAGUGAAAUCCAUGGGGUUAAACCAUGAACUGGUUUUGAAACUGCAGAGAUUGAGUGGAGUAGAGGUAGGCGGAAUUGCCGGUGUAGCGGUGGAAUGCGUAGAGAUCGGGAGGAACACCAGUGGCGAAGGCGGCCUGCUGGGCUCUAAAUGAAGCUGAGGGACGAAAGCGUGGGUAGCAAACAGGAUUAGAUACCCCGGGUAGUG
This 441-nucleotide ribosomal RNA is filed under the name uncultured bacterium. Its description in RNAcentral is "partial 16S ribosomal RNA". It matches the Rfam family "Bacterial small subunit ribosomal RNA", at positions 338 to 795 of the family's 1533-position model. The record is from RNAcentral.